AUACGGAGGAUCCGAGCGUUAUCCGGAUUUAUUGGGUUUAAAGGGUGCGUAGGUGGUUUGAUAAGUCAGCGGUGAAAGUUUGCAGCUUAACUGUAAAAAUGCCGUUGAAACUGUCGGACUUGAGUGUAAAUGAGGUAGGCGGAAUGCGUGGUGUAGCGGUGAAAUGCAUAGAUAUCACGCAGAACUCCGAUUGCGAAGGCAGCUUACUAAGCUACAACUGACACUGAAGCACGAAAGCGUGGGGAUCAAACAGGAUUAGAUACCCUGGUAGUCCACGCCCUAAACGAUGAUAACUCGAUGUUAGCGAUAUACAGUCAGCGUCGUAGCGAAAGCGUUAAGUUAUCCACCUGGGGAGUACGCCGGCAACGGUGAAACUCAAAGGAAUUGACGGGG
RNAcentral lists this ribosomal RNA (393 nucleotides) under uncultured bacterium. RNAcentral describes it as "partial 16S ribosomal RNA". It matches the Rfam family "Bacterial small subunit ribosomal RNA", at positions 523 to 918 of the family's 1533-position model. The record is from RNAcentral.